GCUCCUGUGGCGUAGUGGUUAGAAUGUUCGCCUCGGAUGCGGGAGGUCGCAGGUUCGAACCACGCCGAGUCA
Potamilus streckersoni is the source of this 72-nucleotide non-coding RNA. The record is from the annotation of a GenBank genome assembly. Lineage: Eukaryota; Metazoa; Mollusca; Bivalvia; Unionida; Unionidae.